AUUUGGCUUGAAAGAGACAUUCUGUUGUAGCUAAUGGAUCGGUUGUGGUGUGUACUCGUGCGUGCGUGUGUGUGUGUGUGUGUGCACGCGCGCGCGCACGGACACGUGCACGCGCGCGCGCACGGGCACGUGCACGCGCGCGCGCACGGGCACGUGCAUGCGCAUGUUGUGUCAGGAGUUCAGCUUACACUCGAGUAGGACCCUGG
Molecule: non-coding RNA, 206 nt
Organism: Podarcis lilfordi (Lilford's wall lizard)
Lineage: Eukaryota; Metazoa; Chordata; Lepidosauria; Squamata; Lacertidae
Source: the annotation of a GenBank genome assembly